This 96-nucleotide small nucleolar RNA is filed under the name Oryza punctata. Its description in RNAcentral is "Small nucleolar RNA Z157/R69/R10". It matches the Rfam family "Small nucleolar RNA Z157/R69/R10". From Rfam's summary of the family: Z157, R69 and R10 are members of the C/D class of snoRNA which contain the C (UGAUGA) and D (CUGA) box motifs. Most of the members of the box C/D family function in directing site-specific 2'-O-methylation of substrate RNAs. Lineage: Eukaryota; Viridiplantae; Streptophyta; Magnoliopsida; Poales; Poaceae. The record is from Rfam by way of RNAcentral.
UUGGGGGUGGUGGUGAACAAAUUUUCUUUGGACUAGAGUUUCUGAUUCUACUACUUUGUGCUAGUUGAAGGAACUCUUGGCUGUCUGAGCUUCCAG